AUGGAAACUAUAUCAGAAAAUCGAAAACCCUCUAAGAUUAGCAUGGUGAAGAAGCAUGUCGCCAACCUUA
RNAcentral lists this non-coding RNA (70 nucleotides) under uncultured Stichotrichia. The record is from RNAcentral. Lineage: Eukaryota; Ciliophora; Spirotrichea.